GACGAAGGUGGCUAGCGUUGUUCGGAAUUACUGGGCGUAAAGCGUGCGCAGGCGGUUCCAUAAGACAGAUGUGAAAUCCCCGGGCUCAACCUGGGAACUGCAUUUGUGACUGUGGGGCUAGAGUACGGUAGAGGGGGAUGGAAUUCCGCGUGUAGCAGUGAAAUGCGUAGAUAUGCGGAGGAACACCAAUGGCGAAGGCAAUCCCCUGGACCUGUACUGACGCUCAUGCACGAAAGCGUGGGGAGCAAACAGG
This 253-nucleotide ribosomal RNA is filed under the name uncultured bacterium. Its description in RNAcentral is "partial 16S ribosomal RNA". It matches the Rfam family "Bacterial small subunit ribosomal RNA", at positions 524 to 776 of the family's 1533-position model. The record is from RNAcentral.